Molecule: ribosomal RNA, 459 nt
Filed under: uncultured bacterium
Lineage: Bacteria
Description: partial 16S ribosomal RNA
Rfam family: Bacterial small subunit ribosomal RNA
Source: RNAcentral
CCUACGGGAGGCAGCAGUGAGGAAUAUUGGUCAAUGGACGAGAGUCUGAACCAGCCAAGUAGCGUGAAGGAUGACUGCCCUAUGGGUUGUAAACUUCUUUUAUAUGGGAAUAAAAUGUUCCACGUGUGGGAUUUUGUAUGUACCAUAUGAAUAAGGAUCGGCUAACUCCGUGCCAGCCGCCGCGGUACUACGGAGGAUCCGAGCGUUAUCCGGAUUUAUUGGGGUUAAAGGGAGCGUAGGUGGAUUGUUAUGUCAGCGGUAACAGCGCGGGGCUCAACCUCACUCCGCCUUUGACUCUGGCGUUCUUGAGUGGGCGAGAGGUAUGCGGAAUGCGUGGUGUAGCGGUGAAAUGCAUAGAUAUAACGCAGAACUCCGAUUGCGAAGGCAGCAUACCGGCGCCAAACUGACGCUGAAGCACGAAAGCGUGGGUAUCGAACAGGAUUAGAUACCCGAGUAGUC